GGUCCUAUAGUGUAGCUUGGUUAUCACUUUCGGUUUUGAUUACAUUUGUCAGAUUUCCGAACAACAUCAGUUCGAAUCUGGUUAGGACCU
Molecule: transfer RNA, 90 nt
Filed under: Lodderomyces orthopsilosis Co 90-125
Lineage: Eukaryota; Fungi; Ascomycota; Pichiomycetes; Serinales; Debaryomycetaceae
Description: Candida orthopsilosis Co 90-125 tRNA
Rfam family: tRNA
About the family: Transfer RNA (tRNA) molecules are approximately 80 nucleotides in length.
Source: RNAcentral